GACAGAGGUGGCGAGCGUUGUUCGGAUUUAUUGGGCGUAAAGCGAACGCAGGUGGUUUGGUAAGUCAGAGGUGAAAGACCACAGCUUAACUGUGGCACUGCCUUUGAUACUGCCUUUCUAGAGUGCAUGAGGGGAGCGGAAUCCGAGUGUAGAGGUGAAAUUCGUAGAUAUUCGGUAGGAACGACCAGUGGCGAAGGCGGCGACCUCGGACAGUAACUGACGCUGAGGCGCGAAAGUGUGGGGAGC
RNAcentral lists this ribosomal RNA (246 nucleotides) under uncultured bacterium. RNAcentral describes it as "partial 16S ribosomal RNA". It matches the Rfam family "Bacterial small subunit ribosomal RNA", at positions 524 to 769 of the family's 1533-position model. The record is from RNAcentral.